GAUGAACGCUGGCGGCGUGCCUAACACAUGCAAGUCGAACGGAGUCCAGCCUUUAAGACCUUCGGGUCAAAGAGGGGAAGACUGAGUGGCGGACGGGUGAGUAACACGUGGGCAACCUGGCUCAUAGAGGGGGAUAACAGAGAGAAAUUUCUGCUAAUACCGCAUAAGCACACACUGCCGCAUGGCAGAGGGUGAAAAGAGAAUCGCUAUGAGAUGGACCCGCGUCUGAUUAGCCAGUUGGCAGGGUAAGAGCCUACCAAAGCGACGAUCAGUGGCCGAUCUGAGAGGAUGAACGGCCACAUUGGGACUGAGACACGGCCCAAACUCCUACGGGAGGCAGCAGUGGGGGAUAUUGCACAAUGGGGGGAACCCUGAUGCAGCGACGCCGCGUGAGUGAAGAAGUAUUUCGGUAUGUAAAGCUCUAUCAGCAGGGAAGAUAAUGACAGUACCUGAAGAAGAAGCCCCGGCUAACUACGUG
This 478-nucleotide ribosomal RNA is filed under the name uncultured bacterium. RNAcentral's name for it is "partial 16S ribosomal RNA". It matches the Rfam family "Bacterial small subunit ribosomal RNA", at positions 28 to 507 of the family's 1533-position model. The record is from RNAcentral.